CGCAGGGAUGUAAUGCACACAAUACACAUCAUUUUCAGUUUACACACUUUUUAAAAAUCUAUUUGUUUAGUAAUCUCUGUACCCACCAUGAGGCUCAAACUCACGACCCCAAGAUCAAGAGUCACAUGUUCUUCCGACUGAGCCAGCCAGGCACCCCAACACAAUUUGAUUAAUUAAAAUGGGUUAUAAGAAUUGUUAAGUAUAAUUCCAGUCAAAACAAUAAGACAAAGCAGGGUACUUUAGCAAAGCAAAUCAACAUGUUAAGAAAUAUUAAGGUUUAAAUUUUUUUAUUAAUUGAAAUAAGAAGAUCACCAUUAACUUAUUGAUGGAAUCUAUCAAACUUUAGACCCCUUUUGCAAAGAAGUAGGACAUUUAAAUACAACUGUAAAUUACGGGGGUGCCUGGGUGGCUCAGUUGUCGGUUAAGCAUCUGCCUUUGGCCCAGGUCAUGA
This is a long non-coding RNA of Neomonachus schauinslandi (Hawaiian monk seal), 451 nucleotides long. RefSeq lists it as uncharacterized. The record is from RefSeq and is a predicted model, not a curated record. Lineage: Eukaryota; Metazoa; Chordata; Mammalia; Carnivora; Phocidae. The transcript is spliced from 3 exons.